Molecule: transfer RNA, 71 nt
Filed under: Marmota monax (woodchuck)
Lineage: Eukaryota; Metazoa; Chordata; Mammalia; Rodentia; Sciuridae
Description: tRNA.Thr
Source: RNAcentral
GGGAGUGUGACUCACUGGCAGAGCGUUUUUCUAGUACACACAAGUCCUGGGUUUGAUCCCCACCACACACA